GACGAACGCUGGCGGCAUGCCUAACACAUGCAAGUCGAACGAAACCGUCGGGUCUAGUGGCGCACGUGUGCGUGCGACGUGGGAACCUACCCGUAGGUUCGGAAUACCUCCCCGAGGGGGAUGCUCAUACCAGAUGGUGUCUUCCGACCAAAGAUUUAUGGCCUUUGGGUGGGCGCGCGUUGGAUUAGCUAGUUGGUAGUGUACAAGCAUACCAAGGCGCCGAUGCAGAGCUGGUCGGAGAGGAAGGUCAGCUACACUGGGACUGAGACACGGCCCAGAACCGUACGGGAGGGAGGAGUGGGGAAUAUUGGACAAGGGGCGAAAGUGUGACAAAGCAAUGCCGCGGGAGUGAGGAAGGGCGUAGGGUUGUAAAGCUCUUUGACCCGGGAUGAUAAUGACAGUACCGGGAGAAUAAGCACCGGCUAACUCCGUG
Molecule: ribosomal RNA, 433 nt
Filed under: uncultured bacterium
Lineage: Bacteria
Description: partial 16S ribosomal RNA
Rfam family: Bacterial small subunit ribosomal RNA
Source: RNAcentral